Suricata suricatta (meerkat) is the source of this 1443-nucleotide long non-coding RNA. RefSeq lists it as uncharacterized. NCBI's taxonomy places the organism in Eukaryota, Metazoa, Chordata, Mammalia, Carnivora, Herpestidae. The record is from RefSeq and is a predicted model, not a curated record. The transcript has 3 exons.
CUCAGGAAGAAGGUGUGCAGUCAUGUCUGUGGCAGCCCUGUGGAAACAGCAAAGAACUACACGAGUGUCAGCUCCCAACUGAGCCAGGAUGGCAAAGAUGGUGGCCUCACAAGAUGGCGGUGGCCUGGGUCCCUGAAGCACCACUCAGAGCAGAGCUGCUCAGAAGAUCACUGCGCUGCCUUGGACAGUAGGAGGCUGCAGGACAACUGCUUUGCCGGCAAGGGCAAGUUUGCCUCCAGGCUUAGAGGGUGGAGCGGACAUGGACACGUGGACAGCCCGGGAUGGAGGGCCACAGGCCAUCUCAUCAUAAAAGCCCUUUGCUAAGUUCAGAAAAUCACCUACAUUCCCUGUCCUAGUCAACUCAGUCUCUUAUAAACCCCACAGUACCUGAUUCCCCAAGAUUUCAAUGUGCUCCCCGCCUGGGUGCUAGGGCCACCCCAGCCACGUUUCCGCCCAGGAGCCUAAAGACCUGGUCACAGAUUUGACUCCUUUUAUUGCACAACAGUUGGGCAUUUUCAAAUCAAAUAGAGUCAAUCCAUUCACUUAACACUCAGCAAAUAUUUGCCCGCUGCUACUGUUUGCUUAAGGGACUUGACAAAAAGGAAAAGGCAAAGCGGUAGGGUGAGAAAAUGACGAGGUUGUAUUAGGGUGAGAGCAGGUUUUCCUGUCGGGUUUUUACUUGCUCCGUCCAAGUUAGGUAGGGAUUUGGAAUUCGGAUUUCAAAUUUGAAAGGAAGUGUCAUUUCUUGCUGAAUGAGAAGUAGCAUUCUGAGCAGCAUGUUAAAUGCUCACGGAGCAAGAUGAUCCGCAUUCAACCUGCAGAUUUUCCUUAGAUGCCUCUAGAAUUCUGACUCACCCAGGGGCUUCUUCCUAGUCGUGGUGGUUAGGAUGACAAUGCGGAUGAUGAGCACCUUCUCUGUGCCAGGCACCCAGCUAAGUGCUUUCUGCACAUGCUGUCCAAACCGAACUGCCUAAUCCUACAAAUCGAGUAUUGUACACUUGAGGAGGUUAGGAUUCAGAGAGGCUGAUGCAUUUGUCCAAGGCCACAUGGCCACGUAGGGGCAGAGCCAGGAUCUGAAUUGGGGUCUUCUUGUCUCUAAAAAUUAGGACCAUUCGCUGUCAUGCCCACUUCAAAAUGGGAAGGAAAUUUCAGGUACAUUAACAAAAGUGUGUGCUAAAUGGGGGUCCUCAAACUUUAGCACGCACCAAAGUCACUGGGAGGGCUUAUUACAAUACAGGUAGUUGGGGGGCGCCUGGGUGGCUCAGUGGGUUGAGCGUCCAACUUCGGUCCAGGUCCUGAUCUCACCGUUUGGUUUGUGAGUUCAAGCACUACACCCGGCUCCCUGUACUCAGCACAAAGCCUGCUGUGGAUGCUGUGUUCCCAUAUGUGUCUGCCCCUGCCCUGCUCUUCUUCUGUCUCUCCAAAAUAAACAUUAAGUGUGUG